This is a long non-coding RNA of Brassica rapa (field mustard), 354 nucleotides long. RefSeq lists it as uncharacterized. NCBI's taxonomy places the organism in Eukaryota, Viridiplantae, Streptophyta, Magnoliopsida, Brassicales, Brassicaceae. The record is from RefSeq and is a predicted model, not a curated record.
CACCAAUAUUGUGUGUUUUGUUGGAGGGGAUCCUCAGGGACUGCCUCUUCAGAGUAAUAAGGAGGCCCGGAUGAUGCAUCCGACACCAUGGAAGAAUCAUCAUCAUGUUCUUGUUUUGUUACUCCAUUGUCAUCAUCAAAAUGAUGCAAUGUAACAGAAGAAGAAUGGUCUAAGUACAUUGUCCAACCUGAUUCUCCCGCAUCGCUGCUUAAGGCCUUUAAGAAGAAGAUACACUCUUUUGAUGCAGCCAUUGCAGAAGUUAUAAGGGCAUUGUUUGGAAAAAUAAAUAAAUAAAUAUAUGUAUAUAUAUGUAACAUAUCUCUUGAAAUUUAUUUCACUUUUGAAACUCUAAAA